CUUUCCCCGGUGUUCUUUUCGUCACCACUGCAAUCUAUCCAGAUCCAACAGAGGCUCCAUCUUGGAUAUAGAGACGUCCCGACUGCUUCUUCCACUGAGCAGUUACACCAAGUAUCAGUGAGGGCAAUUAUAUUCACAGGGAAACGCAAGUUAAAACGACGAGCUACGACUACACACGUAUUAGCAUGGCCAAACUCCAGAACACUGACGAUGCUACAUGCUGGCGAGGAUGGGGAGCAACGGGAACUCUCACUCACUGCUGGUGGAAGUGCAAAAUGAUGCAGCCAUCAUGGAGGCCAGCUUGACAGUUCCUUACAAAACUAAACACACUCCUAGCAUACA
Felis catus (domestic cat) is the source of this 342-nucleotide long non-coding RNA. RefSeq lists it as uncharacterized. NCBI's taxonomy places the organism in Eukaryota, Metazoa, Chordata, Mammalia, Carnivora, Felidae. The transcript has 2 exons. The record is from RefSeq and is a predicted model, not a curated record.